CCAUCCUAGGACCCAACGCUGGUUCACCUGUACUUCCGUUCAGUACUGCACGGGGAGUGGUGCACUCCACUUGUGAUAUUUACACUCAGCUCCAGUUCUCCUUUUAGUACCUUGAUGCUGGUAUUGAUGUUGCCACCAACUCUUUUAGGCACAUUGAAAACCAAUCAAAAGACUGUCAAUUUUGUCUUGUAAAAAAGCAGUGCACUCUUCCAGGGCCCCUUUCCCCGGCAGAGUGACUUAUUAAACCGGAAACUCUAGUCAGACAGUUGCUAAUUUUUUUUUCUUCAUUUUGUUGCUGCUGUUGCUGCUUAUCAAUUUCAUUACACUGAACCCUACCUGCCUGUGUGCAGUUGGCAGUACAUCCACUGCCAGAAUCUCUGACGUAUGGUAUCCUGGCUCAAAAUGCUCUGCCCCCCUGCCCCGGGGGUCACCAAUGUUCUCAUGCAGAGAGCUCAUUUCAAUCAAGAACCCUUAUCUGUGAUCAACGAGCAACUUAGAGCAAGUCCGAGCAUGAUAGUCAUCCGUUCCUUCAGCCUUCUGUCACAGGCAACAGGAAUUUUCAUGUCCCAGUGCCUUUCUUGAAGGUAAAAAAAACAGUUCCCAUGGCAGUUGAGUUGAAAUCAUUUUUACAAUUUGAACAGCUUUUAUUGAAGGAGUGGCAUUUGUUAUUGGUGCAUGCCCUUCCAGAACUUUUUUCCCAUUUGACUAAUCUCGUCUACCCGAGUUGUUUUCCUUCUUGUUUCAAUUUUAACAUAACAAAUCUGGGGAUGGGCAAAAUCUGUUUUUCCUUUAUAAUUUGAUCUUUGAGUCUACUUACUUCAAUAAAAAAAACAUGCUCUUUCGCACAUCUGAAAUUUGCCAUCAUGAGCCUUGUCUUCAUAAUACUCUAUGCUUAAAAGAAUUUUGAGUUCUUUUUUCAAAGCUGGCAGCUACAUGUAAAGUCAGUUUGAAAACUUUGCUGGGUUUGGUGAUGCAUUGAGAAAUGACACGUCCAUGAAUUGCACGCUUGAACAAGGACAGCAUCUUUUUUAACCAUUUUUAGAUGGGGACAUGGGAACCCAAUGCACUCAGCUGUGAAGGGAAACUCUGAUUUUUUAAAAAGAAAAUUGAAGUCUGACAGACUGAUUUCUGAAUAGAAAGUCAACAGAUUUUCAAUUGCUGACUGUAUAAACAUUGCAUUGCCGGGGUUUUGGGUGACUCGGUUGCUGUCGUACCACUUUUUGUUUUGUUGUCUGAGUGAAACUAGAAUAAAUCAUUAUUUGUACACUUACAUUGGCCAUGGAGCCACACUUGCAGUUCAACAUGGGAACAUUGUAUUGGGGUUUUGGAGGUGACUAGGUGCAAUGGAGUUUAUUCCAUUUCUUUUAUUGCAAGAGCACGGCGAGAAUAAAUCCUCUUUUUAUGCAUGAGCCCAUUCCAGGUUCUUCGCCUGUUUGCCAUCUUCUGAUUUUGUUUUUAUAAAAUCUGGCAUAUAGUCUUGUCAGAGUUGGAAGUGCUGAGGAAGUAUCUUUCUGUCUUGUUUUCCAAAUCUAAGGAAGGCUUGAUUGACCGGUUGUAGAGUAUGAGCUGAUGCUACACGUAGAACAUAUAUUUAAGUACAUAACCACACGAUCAAAGUCCCUGAGCUUGCCUUGCUAGCAAUCAUGCAGCUCAAGAGAGAUAAGCCUCCUAGUGUGAUAGUGGUUAUGUGCUACCUGUGUAUCUCGGGCAGUCCCAUGUUUCCCACCAAAAUGAUACCUUGUGGAAUUUGAAAGGUGUUGUAAGGUCAGGUUUAAUUACUCUCAGCAAUCUAUUCAUGCCAGUUUUAAUAGUUAGGGGAUCUUAGUCCUUUCAUACAAGAGGUGGUACAUUUAAUUGUUUUUUCUUGUUCUUCUUUUCAUUUUUUCACCUUUAUAAUCAGAGCACAGAUAGUUGAAAUUCGUUACACAGUAAACUUAUGUUCCUCAAAGUCUGUUCAGUUGAAACUCCAAAGGCAUCAUUGCCACCAGAAAAAUAGGCUUUUAUGUACAGAAAGUCCUCCAUAACUCGAAGUGCCUACUGUGCAACAUCUGCUUAUUUUUAAGUUUCUGUGAUGCCAAUCCAAAAGAAACAUCUGCAGUUGUUAUACUGCCAAGUGAUUCUCUUCACACUGUGUUAUCACAACAAAACUUAGGUUUCAAGCAAGCUUGAUUAUUGCCACCAUGGGCCCAGUUUCCAGUGUUGGAGUACUUGCACUAAUCACAAGAAUACUCAUCAGCCUACUGUAUACUCAAUUUCAGUACUCAAAAAUUAAUUGUACUGGACCCACAUACUUGAUUCUUGUACUUGGAUUUUGGGCAUACUCGAAACUUAGGUACUUGAUCCUUGUACUAAAAAACAUUCAAGUACUUCACAUUUUAUUGAAGCAUUUUCGGGCAGUGGGUGAGCAAAGAUUGCAUUACUCAACCUUGAAUGCAAGGCAAGGUGACACAGCAGUUUUACUCUGUAGUCUGUAUACUCUCUAAAUCAAAAGAGGGAAAACUUAGUCUUUUCAAGUGAAAAUCCACUCCCACAGUUGGAAACUAGGGACUAGACGUUUUACAGUGAAAUUUCUUCCAUCGAAAAGAUCGAGUUUUCACUCAAGCUCCUACUGAAGUGAUCAUUUUGUAAAGAGUAUUUUAAUCUAAAUUGAGAGUGAUUUUCACUCUAAAUCGUCUUGUGCCUAAUUUCACUCUUUCGGAUUUAGAGAGUAAUAUGUACAUAAUGCUUUACCAUAGCAUGGGUAAGGAUCACUUUUCUACUUGUCAGAUUCUGCCUUCACAGCGUUUACCGUAGUAAAUUGUAGUGCUGAUAUGAGCCGAGCUAAGCUUGUGCUCCAUGAGUGUCGUGUCAUUUCCACGGUCCAUGUGCACAAAUAAAAGUUGAAAGUGUUAACUACUCUGUAAAGAUGAUUAUGUCAUGGUGUGUUUGUUCAAGUAAUAUACACGUAUAUCUACUUGUAGAUGUAUUUAAUUUGUUUGUUUACCUUCUUGGUGUAUUUAUCUUCUUGGUAUUGUACUGGGAGUCAGGCUUUUACUUCAGUAUUUGGAUUCAGCCCAUUUGCUGGUCUUGAAUGUACUCACACAUUGUACUCCGUGUUUUGUUCUCGGAUUCCUCUCCAGUGCACUUGUACUCGGCCUGCAACUUGGGCCCUAAAGUACUCGGAUUACUCUGUACAUAUACUUGGAUUUGAGGACUUGACUCCAGAACUGUCACACAAAGUUUGCUGUUUAACUUGUGUGUUAUUUAUAGAACAAAAUCUUUUUUUUCAUGAACACGAUAACAUUUCAGUAACUGGUGAUUUUUAUGAGUGGUGCACCAUGAAUAGAAGAUAACUAACCACAGAAAUGUUUCCAAUAGCCAUCGUGGAGUGAGUUGUAAUGUAUACUCUGUAGGUGUGUAUAUGGGUAGGCCCCCUAUAACUAUGAUGACUCCAUAAAACAAGGAAUUUUUGUUCGCUUGAAAUCCACGUACCUCAUAUCGUAGUUUUGGGAUUUUUUGUGUUUUCCCAUUCCCCUGCAGUUUUGAGUUACUCGGGUAUUUAUGCCCGUUAUUUGACCUGGAUAUGUGCUCAACACUAAAUUUUUAAUUUAACCAUUGUCACUGACUUGACAAGUGAAUUUGUCUUUUGUUAAAUAGGGUUAGACUUGGCAAAUGACACUCAUAGUGGUGUUCAACUGCAUGCAUCAUGCCAUGUGACUUGCUUCAGUACUUCCUGUUGCUUUUCUUCAGCUGUUGAAAUUUAUUUUCAAUUAAUGUCAUAUGUUGGCAGUGCCCUCGCCAUACAUCCUGGAUUCUCAACUGAUGUUUUAAACACACAAACCAUGCCAUGCACACAAACCAUUGUGCAUGUGGUGUGCCACACGAAAAGAGGGAUACGUGCUGCCUGUCCACUAUUUCUGCAUAGUGGCCACACAACAUAGGCCCAUGCACUGACGCGACAUCACACUUUGUCUUACAUGUGCACAUUUCCUUGGAGCCAGUCAGGGUCCACAGUCCACUUGUAGAGUGAUAUCAUCAGUGCAGAGAGCUCCUCAGGCAAUACGUCAAUCCAUGACAACAUUUCUGUCUGCAUAUUGACCAGGGAGCAUGAGACCUGCCUGCUCUGUAGCUUGCUCAAAUCAAACAAAUAAAAGCCUGUUACACCAUGUGUAUCGUGGACUUUAGAAAAGAGUAUGAUACCUUACAGAAAAGGGAUUUGUUACUUUUGUACUUGAUUUAACCUUCUUAAGAUGGGGGAGGAUGAAUUCUUUGCUAAUCCGACUCAAGAAUAAUCCUGUUUAGAAGAUGCAUCUUUUGCAUGAUUGGUAAACAAUUUACACUGUACUUGAAGCAAUUUUGGACAAUGCACCCUGCAUUUUUGGGGGUGUUUUACUUGUGUUUACAGUGCAGAGACAUUCUUUGUUUAUGUUACGGUAUUGCUACAGCGCUGCUCUUGUGCUGAUUGAGCUACUGUUAUCAAGUGAGCUCCACUAGUUGCCAUUGUUGUAGUCAUGAUCUGAUGACUGAAGCACCCGAGCACAGAAUAAAGACACAGUCAUAGUUCUAUUACCCUCUGUGUCUGGAAGCGAUCCUUUUA
Acanthaster planci (crown-of-thorns starfish) is the source of this 4576-nucleotide long non-coding RNA. NCBI's taxonomy places the organism in Eukaryota, Metazoa, Echinodermata, Asteroidea, Valvatida, Acanthasteridae. The record is from RefSeq and is a predicted model, not a curated record.